RNAcentral lists this long non-coding RNA (2026 nucleotides) under Apis dorsata (giant honeybee). RNAcentral describes it as "uncharacterized LOC102679183". The record is from RNAcentral. Lineage: Eukaryota; Metazoa; Arthropoda; Insecta; Hymenoptera; Apidae.
AUUGAUCUCUAAUUAAAUCCAAGAUAUAAAGAGACAUAAAACAAAUUGGAAAAAACGUUACAAAAUUGCAAUUCACUGUUUUACACAAUAUUAUGUUGUAAAUUAAUAUAUUAGAUCCCGAAAUCAGUCAUAAAACGAAGUAGCGGUUUUAUGGGAGACAACAUCGAAACGAGACGAGCUGUACUUUGGGGCAGGUUUACAAAUACGUGGAUCAAUUCCAGGUUUAUCGUUCGGCAGCGGCGAUUGGUCGACUCUCGACGGUUCGGUUCUACAUAUAAAACAUAGUUACGCGUACAAAUGCGCGCAUACAUGUGUAGAAUCGUAUAUAAACAUAUAUCAUAUAUACAUAAUGAACAUGGAUUCUAUAACCCGGGUGUGUGUAUACCGCCAUAAUAAUUCAGUCUCGAACGUCGCUCUCUCCGCAGUGACCGCAACCUGCAAAGCUGACGAAACACGAGCAAAUCAACUGUCGCAGCUAUUUUCUGCCUAGUUACGUAAAUUAAUAUUAGAAACGAUACUGAAAUUAUUGUUUCAUCGAGACGGAUGCGGUGCGCACCGCGAUCCUGAGCCUAUCAACGUGACAACCAUGUUUCGACGGAUAUUGUGGAUUUCAGGUUAUGGAAAGGAUAAUGAUUUGUUGGAUAUUUGAUAAUGAUUGUUUGGAACAGAAUUAAGUGCUAUUGAAAUGAUGUUUCAUUCAAUUGAUUACAUAAUCGAUUACAAUAAGAUCGUUUUUGCAUUUGGUAUUUGUUAUAAUUAGUUCAGAUACUUUUAUCUAAAGCAUGUCAUCAAAUAAAAAAUCAUUUUCCAACAUAGACUAUAUCACAUAAUAAUCACUUUUGACCAAUGUGUGAUUGCGAUUACAACCUUUAAAUUAGAAAUUCGCCGCGAACGAGAAUUUCACGACCGUUGUAUACCACACAUGUGUACUACACGCAUCGCCGACGGUACUAGCUGUGGCAACGAUGGAAAACGGUGAUCGCAACAGCGGCACGCAAAGUGAGCCGACAAAGGCGUCUUAUCGCGGUUAAUUUAUAUUUCAAAAGGUUACUGGUACCAUCGAAAGAACGUAGAAACUCUCUCGGCGCUAUUCCACAAGAAAUUCUAUCUGUCGAAAGAUUUAUCAAUGCAUCCAAGAUGAUUUUGAGAAUUUUUCUUAUUAUUAAUUUUUUUCGUUGUAAUAUAUACAAAAUGGCGGACACUGGAACAUGUAAGCGCGGGUAAUUUGAUUUUUAUAUGAGCGUUCAAUAAGUUUAUGAAAAUUUUACCAAGCAGAUCCAAUCUCGACGUUCAAUUCCAUCGAACACAAAAUAUCAUGGUGAAACAUGUGCAACGUAUUAACGUUCUUAGGUUAAUCGAUCUCUGUGGAAGAUCGAGGCAAUUAACGCCAGUAUCGCCAGUCGAUGAUGAACAUUCGUCAUCCGAAGACCGGUUUCUAUCGGAUGAUUCACCAUCGUGGAUUCUAUAAAAUCCCACCAACAAUGUUCCUGUCAUGGAUUUUCUUUUGCUUUUACCACCUUUAAGUCUCGAAGGAUGACUGAAUGCUCAUUAUUAGUAACGUAGCGAUCCACGCUCCGCCAUUUUCUCAAUCAACAAUCGAGAUCAACCUCGAAGCCUUCUCUAACCUCAAACAUCGAUCAAUUCUCGUCAACGUUCCCGCAAAAGGGAACGCAACGCGUGGCACGACUUUUACAAAGUAGGGAUAAGUUCACCACACGCGGAUACACUCUCCACCACGACACUAUUCAAUUUCUCAUUCAGGAUAUCAUGCAUCAUCUUUUGAGCUUAAAAAUUAUCUCUUCGAUCUUCCAGGAUUUCCGUGGCAUGGCGUCUUGCACAAUCUUCUCGAAUCGUCAUAAAUCAUGUCGACGGAUUGCGUGGGCGGCUAUGGAACACGCUCUAACCCCCUUCCAAGUGAUGCAUAGUAACAUUUUACAGGAUUUUUACGCACCGUCACAAUUCAUCCGUUAAUGACACCGACACUGGUAAAAGUAUAAUAAUAAUAAUAAUUAUUAUUAUUAUCUUU